Molecule: ribosomal RNA, 253 nt
Filed under: uncultured bacterium
Lineage: Bacteria
Description: partial 16S ribosomal RNA
Rfam family: Bacterial small subunit ribosomal RNA
Source: RNAcentral
UACGAAGGGGGCUAGCGUUGUUCGGAAUUACUGGGCGUAAAGCGCACGUAGGCGGACAUUUAAGUCAGGGGUGAAAUCCCAGAGCUCAACUCUGGAACUGCCUUUGAUACUGGGUGUCUUGAGUAUGGAAGAGGUGAGUGGAAUUCCGAGUGUAGAGGUGAAAUUCGUAGAUAUUCGGAGGAACACCAGUGGCGAAGGCGGCGAGCUGGUCCAUUACUGACGCUGAGGCGCGACAGCGUGGGGAGCAAACAGG